CUAAAAGUUAUUUUGCAAGGAUCUGUUACAGUAUGUAAAACAUUGCAUCAGCCGUAUACUUAAUUGCGAAGCAGAAGGAAGCCUGUGACUUCCGUUUUCCUCUUCAGAUCUUUCGCUUUGGAUUAUAUUUCGCUCUGGCUAUAGCAGUGGACUCUCGUCAGUCUCCAACACCAACCAGCCCGAGCCAAGGAGCAUCUUGCAGAGGGUCUGCAUGUGGACCUCUGGAGGGAAAGCAAUAGUGUUUAGCUCACACAUAAUGACCAGUAGCUGGUGGGAUGAGUCCAUCCAUCUCUGUGAAGUGAACAGGUCCCAGCUGGGCCGAUGCCUUCAGGAUGGAAAGGGGAAGUGAGGCCGGCUUCACCCGUCUCCCCUAAAUAAACCAGGCGACAGGAUGCACCCGCAUUUGAGAGGACAGACACAGCAUCCAGCGGCUGCAGGGGAGGAGCGGCUUCCGCUGUCAUGGGUGUCAAGUCCACUAUUAGAGAGGCGAGUGAAUCCACAUGGUGCCUGCAGGAUGAAAUGAGCCUUCCCAUGUGCUGCUGGUAGAUCAGCUUUACACAAUAAAUCUGUGUUCCAGUUC
Molecule: non-coding RNA, 580 nt
Organism: Danio rerio (zebrafish)
Lineage: Eukaryota; Metazoa; Chordata; Actinopteri; Cypriniformes; Danionidae
Source: Ensembl